AAAAAUUUGAGGACUAACAGAAGAAGACACGGGACAAAGUGGUAUAUCCACAAAGUCUGGAAUAGGAACUGAAGGAAUAGGGAAGGAGAAUCAGAUUUAUAAGGAAAAAUAUUUUCAUGAAACAUAAUGUCUCUAGAAAAGAAAACAUAUUUGGUUACUAAAUUCAGUAACUUGUAUCCCUUUUUUCCAUUUGGAUAACCUAAGAAUACCGAUAAAAUGGAUCUAGAUUGGAAUUUAUCUCUCCCUAAUUUGGGAGAAGUGGCAAAACAUAAACAACCAAAAUAUCUUAAGUGAGAAUAUGCAAGAGGCUGCCAUGUAGUUUUUCAUAAGGAAAAAGGUUGUUGAGUAUAACGAAUGGAAUGCGGUUGAUCAAAUAGGUGGCAGUGAGGCCACAU
Molecule: unclassified non-coding RNA, 395 nt
Filed under: Hevea brasiliensis (rubber tree)
Lineage: Eukaryota; Viridiplantae; Streptophyta; Magnoliopsida; Malpighiales; Euphorbiaceae
Source: RNAcentral